GAUGAAGAACGUAGCGAAAUGCGAUAAGUAAUGUGAAUUGCAGAAUUCAGUGAAUCAUCGAAUCUUUGAACGCACAUUGCGCCCGCCAGUAUUCUGGCGGGCAUGCCUGUUCGAGCGUCAUUUCAACCAUCAAGCCCCCGGGCUUGUGUUGGGGACCUGCGGCUGCCGCAGGCCCUGAAAAGCAGUGGCGGGCUCGCUGUCACACCGAGCGUAGUAGCUUACAACCUCGCUUUGGGAGUGCUGCGGGUGCUGGCCGUAAAGCGACCUUUUGCGUCUUUAGCACUAGGUUGACCUCGGAUCAGGUAGGAGGACCCGCUGAACUUAAGCAUAUCAAUAAGCGGAGGA
This 345-nucleotide unclassified non-coding RNA is filed under the name soil metagenome. RNAcentral describes it as "partial contains 5.8S ribosomal RNA, internal transcribed spacer 2, and large subunit ribosomal RNA". The stretch from base 1 to 120 matches the Rfam family "5.8S ribosomal RNA", at positions 35 to 154 of the family's 154-position model. The record is from RNAcentral.